Molecule: ribosomal RNA, 484 nt
Filed under: uncultured bacterium
Lineage: Bacteria
Description: partial 16S ribosomal RNA
Rfam family: Bacterial small subunit ribosomal RNA
Source: RNAcentral
AAUGAACGCUGGCGGCAGGCCUAACACAUGCAAGUCGAGCGGACGGAGGGAGCUCUCGCCUGGCUGCAGUGACGGACGGGUGGGUGAGUACCACGUGGCUAACCUGCAUAUGAGGCUGAGGUCAGGUAACGAGAGCUGAUAUAGCACCCGUCGUUAUGUUGAAACGCAGGGAUCAUCGGAGAAAAAGCGAUCAGCUGUGCCUUAGUCGGAUUAGCUAGUUGGUUGGGUAAAGGCCUACCAAGGCGACGAUCCGUAGCUGGUCUGAGAGGCUGAUCGGCCACACUGGAACUGAGACACGGUCCAGACUCCUACGGGAGGCAGCAGUGGGGAAUCUUGGGCAAUGGGCGAAAGCCUGAUCCAGCCAUGCCGCGUGUGUGAUGAAGGUCUUCGGAUUGUAAAACUCUUUUAGUUGGGAGGAAGAGCAGUAUGUUAAUCCCUUGCUAUUUUGACGGUACCAACAGAAUAAGCCCCGGCUAACUUCGUG